GGCCCUAUAGCCCCGAUCUCAUCUCCCAAUUUCGUCCAGAGCCACCGCGACACCGUUUUCCCCUUUCUCUGUCUCUGGCGAACGCAAAGCUCUGCGCUCCAUGGCCGGCUUGCUCUGGUAAGUCACUGGCCAAUCCAUGCAUUGUUUUCAUGCCUCUGCAUGCUUGCGAAGCUCCCAGUGGCGCUCGAUUGCUCAAUCCGGCCCUGAUUAAGCGGGAACGCGUGCCCGUGGUCACGGUUUUCGCCGUGCAUGUGGACAGGGCGUUCUCAGUGCGUUCGUGUCAAAUUGAUGCGUGUUCCGAGGCCAUCUUAGAUCGGUGAAGCCUCCCCGUUAGUUAUCCCGAGCAGUCAUCGCCGGCCAUGGCCGGUACGGACCACGUUAGGGAUGAUCUGCGUGUGCGCCGUGGUUAGUGGUAUUCGUGGGGAAGAGAUAGAAGAUCGAGGGCAUCUCUGCAAAUUGCAUGUGACACAGAGGAACAGUAAACAAACCUACUUCGAUUUAGCUGAUAAACCGAGGGCCUCUGUGCAAAGUUGCCAGAGCACGCGGGCACGCGACCCUGUUUCCUGUGUAGUUGGGCUGUCCUAGGCUGAAACCGGCCCAUCACUGUUUAAACUUUUUCUUUUUCUUUUUCAGUAGAGCUUUGGAAAUCUGUUUUAAAUUGUAGAAAAAUCCUAAAAUUGUCAAACCAAUUUUCCUAGACUUCCUAUUUUCUAUAGUAUUUAAUAAAAAUAGUUCCAUUAUUUUUAGAUCAACUAGGGAAUUUUAUAGUAUUUAAAAUAACUUAAACUAUUGGUUCUGGAUUUUUAGAAAAUAAAUGGUAAUUCCAAAAAUGCCCAAACUUUUUAUAUGAGCUCUACGCAUUAGUUAGAAGCCAUGGGUAGAAUUUGGUUUGAUUUGGACCUUGUUUGAUACUUAGAACCCAAAACCCCCACCCCUGCCCUUUGAACUCCUUUACUGACUCCGGAAACCCUAAGUUCUCGGAGUUCCGUGAAGGAAAGUUGUAUUCAAGACUUUAGAUAAUAAAUCCUUAUUAUCUUUACACUCUCAUGAGCAUUACAUGGCAUUCAUUCUUAUAUAUACCUAUAUGGUUAUAUUUAGAAAACGAAGAAGAGAUCGAAGUAACCGAAGAGAAGACACCACCACCUUCGAAAUCUCAGGCCGGAAAUUGUUUCUACUUUGAUAUCUGCGGGUUCGAGCCUGACUCACCUACUAACGAAGGCAAGCCCCGGUGCAUUUGCCACCUUCCUUGAUGUUUUUAAAAUCUUUCUCACUUGCUUGCUGCAUUAGGUGAUACGAGUUGAAUGCUUAAACAGUUCCUGCAUUACCUUCCUUGAACUUGAUUACCCUCCUUGAAACCCUGUUUUUACAAAAAGGUUUUACUAUGCUUAGUAUUGCUCUAGAAAAACAAAAGGAUUUGUUUUACAAAAGAUGAUUGGCAAAGUGGGAGGGUUGUUUUCAAAAAUAAAACAUGAUGGUGGAUCCAUCAUGGCCGUGAUGGGUUCAACAUCGGAAAAGAUGUACCUUUGCCAGGUACCAAGUUUUUGGGUUGAAAUGAUUAAGCUGAGACCGGGCGGGUGACUUGCACGAGAAAGGAGUCUCGGUGUAGUGUCUUCGUCUGAGUCGAUUAAGGACCGUGUCGAUGUAGGCUUGAUGAUCGAGGACCCUUUAACUGGUCACAUGCCUCGUCAUGGGUAAGCCUUGCCUCGAGCAGACUAAGGCCAGAAUAAGAUAACACGGAAUGGGCGUGGAGCGGUGGCGAGAGUAGUGUGUACCCUUCGUGGCAAGAGGCUAGACGGUGGUGUAUCUAUGCUCUCGGUUCGCGUGAACCUGAUCUGGUCUUAAGAACCCCGGUGGCGGGUUGACAUAUGCAAGGGUUAAGUGCUACAUAUGUCGUGUGAUUGGAGAUCCUCAGCUGAGUAUAAUCGAUUCGGAUCGCCAUACCUUCGCGGUUAUGAAGACUUGGUCACUUACCUAUACGUAGAACUCCACUAAAGAUGAAGGGAUUUGUUAAGAAACUGGCUAGUGCAGGACAAGUGUUUGAAACUAGAGUAGAAAGAACUCUAGAUGCAGGUAAUUUUACUAACUUGACAAUAAAACUGGAUUUUUAAGGAUCCAGUGUAGUAAGCAUUUAUGCAAAACAGAGUCUUUGAUCAUUGAGAAACCUUACCUUGACUCCCUGAUAACCAGCAUACCCUUGAGAGUCUUUUCUUUAGUCGGGUAAGACUUGCUGAGUAAUUCCAUACUCAGGGUUUAUUCCCCCGUUGUUUUUAGGUGGGGAAGCAACAAACUUUUGUUGCUUUUGCUCCAAGGUGGUUCCAAAUGAAGAAAAACAAGAGUGAAUCUGCGGGAGGACAUGGUCCUCCAUAAAACUUUUAUGUAAAAACUAUCAGGAGGAGUUUUUGCCUCCCUUGGUAUUGUAAUAAU
RNAcentral lists this long non-coding RNA (2424 nucleotides) under Zea mays. RNAcentral's name for it is "long non-coding RNA (ZMAY_LNC003572)". The record is from RNAcentral. Lineage: Eukaryota; Viridiplantae; Streptophyta; Magnoliopsida; Poales; Poaceae.